Molecule: long non-coding RNA, 1349 nt
Organism: Acyrthosiphon pisum (pea aphid)
Lineage: Eukaryota; Metazoa; Arthropoda; Insecta; Hemiptera; Aphididae
Exons: 3
Source: RefSeq, a predicted model, not a curated record
ACUAUAAUAUUUAUAUUAGCAGAUUUUAUAAAAUGUUCGGAAUGUUGCUACUAUUUUUUAAACAUGUCAGGCUCAUGGUGGGAGGGGUACCCCCCUCCCCCCAAUGAAAACUCUACAAACAUAAUAUUUGUACUUACAUAUAAAUAUGAAUUAUAAUAAUUUAUUGGGAACAAAUCUAGUUUAGCACCCAGCAAAAAGUUUCGGACCAGUUUGUAUAGUUAAAUUUGGCAUGCGAACUACCUAUAACUGAAAUAGAAAACCAGAAUAUGGGUACGUUGCAGAUCACACAGAUUUCUGUAAAAGAACAUACGAUUUAUCAAUAGACCGUGUAUGUAGAUUUUAACUUUUAGGUACCUAUUGAGUAUAAAUAAUAUAUAAAUUCUAUAGAUUUAUCAUAAUAAAUAAUAUAUUUUAUAUCAUCUAUGGCAAUCGUCAAUAAAAUUGUCGACAUUCGUCGGCGACGAUUGACAAUUCUAAUGAUUUCAGUUAACAAAAAAAUAAUAAGCAGUCAAUAUAGACAGACUACAGUUAAGCCGUAUUAUAUUGUAUUAUAAUUUUCAAUUCGGAGCGAAAUGAAGAUGGAUGGAGAUAGCUGUUUCUUCAGCGACGGCGGCAGUUUAGCCAGGUUUCACUGGAAGAGUCGAUGUUUACGCGUACGUUUGUUUUCAUAUUAAAAGGAAAUCAUUAGUUUUUACGAAGUUUAAUUCUGACACCCAUACAUGGUGGUUUUACAUAACAAGUCGACGGAUGUUUUUGAUUUUAAUUGUCCGAGCGAGCGUCAACCCUUCCUCAAAAGUUGGUGACAAUGUUCUGGUGUCAACCCUGUCGGUAGAUCCAGGGCGUGGAGAUGCAGUCAACUUUCUUUCAAUAAUCGUAGAAGAAAAAAAGGAAAAUUUCGUAAUUUGGGAUUUAAGAAGAGAUUCUGAGCACAUGGCUGGAGCGGAACAGCUUGGCUGCUACAAAGUAUUGUUUACUCUGACGACGAAUGUGUAAUUCGGCGUGCCACCCAGGCCGUAGUUCCAAAAGUGCAUGAAUAUAAUAUAUUUUUUAUAAUUUUUGUAUUUUUGUUUUUUUUUUUACUGAAAAUAUAUUAUUUUUUAUACACAUAAUUAAUUAUUGAAAUUUCAUUAUAUUUCCAGUAUUCCUGUAUUUUAUGUAAGAUAAUGAAUAUUAAUUUAUAUUGAUUUAUUUUUUAUGACUUAUAACUUAUAAGAAGGCUCUUUGGUCUUUCCAAUUUACCGUAAUCGGCAGUAUUAUGUACAAUCUAUACCAGUGCCGUAGCCAGAAAAUAAUUUUGAGGGGGGCACUUAAUUUUUUUUCAUUAGCCUUUGAAAUGUUAGAAUAUCUAA